RNAcentral lists this transfer RNA (541 nucleotides) under uncultured Prochlorococcus sp. The stretch from base 212 to 284 matches the Rfam family "tRNA". Lineage: Bacteria; Bacillati; Cyanobacteriota; Cyanophyceae; Synechococcales; Prochlorococcaceae. The record is from RNAcentral.
CAGGGAGACAACAAAAUGUUUAAUAUUAUUAUUUUGUCACCUUAGGUCGAUCGGUAUCUCACGUUUUUAAUUUAUUAAGAAUUUCAUUUCCUAAGUUUUUCUAGGUCACACCCAUUAUUUUUCCUGGGCCAUUAGCUCAGGUGGUUAGAGCGCACCCCUGAUAAGGGUGAGGUCCCUGGUUCAAGUCCAGGAUGGCCCAUAUCUCUAUGUUGGGGGUAUAGCUCAGUUGGUAGGGCGCCUGCUUUGCAAGCAGGAUGUCAGCGGUUCGAGUCCGCUUACCUCCACUGAUUACCACCUCUUCCAUAACCGGUAGAAAGGAAAUGUUUUGAGUUGUGAUCAAAUUCUGAAAGAAUCUAGCUUCCUAAUGAAAUCAUUAAGAUGCUGGACUCAUUGAAUUAAUUUCAUUGUUUUCAGAGAACCUUGACAACUGCAUAGAUUAUUUUUAAAGACAAUAAGCAUCUUUAAUGAUGCAGAUUUAUUAUUUGUGCGAAUGCACUAAUAACAAUUCUAUUAAGCUGAUGCUUCAAUUUUUGAAGUUAUU